RNAcentral lists this unclassified non-coding RNA (343 nucleotides) under soil metagenome. RNAcentral describes it as "partial contains 5.8S ribosomal RNA, internal transcribed spacer 2, and large subunit ribosomal RNA". The stretch from base 1 to 120 matches the Rfam family "5.8S ribosomal RNA", at positions 35 to 154 of the family's 154-position model. The record is from RNAcentral.
GAUGAAGAACGUAGUGAAAUGCGAUAAGUAAUGUGAAUUGCAGAAUUCAGUGAAUCAUCGAAUCUUUGAACGCACAUUGCGCCCGCCAGCAUUCUGGCGGGCAUGCCUGUUCGAGCGUCAUUUCAACCCUCGAGCCCCCCCGGGGGCCUCGGUGUUGGGGGACGGCACACCAGCCGCCCCCGAAAUGCAGUGGCUACCCCGCCGCAGCCUCCCCUGCGUAGUAGCACACACCUCGCACCGGAGCGCGGAGGCGGUCACGCCGUAAAACGCCCAACUUUCUUAGAGUUGACCUCGGAUCAGGUAGGAAUACCCGCUGAACUUAAGCAUAUCAAUAAGCGGAGGA